Molecule: long non-coding RNA, 3217 nt
Organism: Cervus elaphus (red deer)
Lineage: Eukaryota; Metazoa; Chordata; Mammalia; Artiodactyla; Cervidae
Exons: 3
Source: RefSeq, a predicted model, not a curated record
GGACACAGGAUUGAAGGCAAGCAGACUCUUGUGGAAAUAUUGGCUCUGCUUCUGUGAGAUCCUAGGCAGGAGGCUCCAUCUCUCCCUGUGCCUAAAUUCCCUCAUUUGCAAAGUGAAAGUCAUAGCAUCUGCUGCAGUGACUUCAGACACUAACUCCCUAGUUAGACCAAACUUCAUAGGUUAAGACUGCCCUCACUUCAGACACCAGCCAUGGUUUGGGGGUUCCCAGGGCCACUCUCCCUUCUGACCACCUGGCUGCAAAUUCAGAGGUUCCCACUCUCCCCUCAGGUUUGAGGCUUUCAGCCUCUUGACAUCAUUGCAGAGAGGAGAGGGGACCAGAAGUAGGGCUCCGUCAUCUGUGAUUCAGUCCGUCAUAGUUUGAUCCAUCGAUGCAGCCUGUGUCCUGACAUCCAGACUUGUGCGAGCUUCCCUGGUUGACACCACAUCAUGUGCAUUGUUCCACGGCAGUGUGCCGGGAGGGUGGUGUGUCCUGAUUCCUCGGGGAGGGGUAGUCAAAGCUUCACAUCUGGGACCCUCCCAGACCUCACCCUGGGUGUCUCUUCCUUUGGCUGGUUCUCAUUUGUAUUCCUUUCACUACAGUACAACAGUGGACGUCAGGGCAGUGCUUUCCUGGGUCCUGAGAGUCGUUCUGGCAAAGUAUCAAACCUGAGGGAGGGGUGUAUGUGUGUAUGUAUGCACGCGCAUGCUUUGCUAGUGAAGGUUAUGAAGAUGUUUUUCUGUACAGUCUGCUCGGAGUUAUCUUGUUUUAUUUUUCACAGAGAUAUCCAUGGUACUGGAAUAGAUUUUUGUGAAUAAUGUAUGAGCCAAGUUGCAUGUCUGUGGUUGGCAGGGAGGGGGCGGGGCUUUCUUUUGUCUUAGUUUGUCCUUGUACCUUUUUCAUACUGUUUAAAUGAUUAUAAUUUUGUAGUACUUCUUAAGUAAGUUUUCCCAUUUUGUUCUUCUUUCUCAAGUGUCUUGACUAUUUUUGGCUUUUUGCAUUUCCGUGUAAAUUUUAGCCUUAUUUGUCAAGUUUGAUAUUUUUGAACAAUUGGAGUUUUGAUUGAGAAUGACUUGGAUCUGUAGAUCAGUUAACAUUAUUGUAAUAUUGAAUCGUCCAGUCCUUGAAAGUAUCAUUAUUAGGUACCACUGUGCAGAAUGACCAAUACCUACUGUUCUAGGUACCAGUGCUUGGUUCAUAAGAGGCAAUCGAUAAUAUUUGUAGUUUGAAUGAAUGGUCAUAGGAAAGAUGCAUGUGGGCAUCUGUGCUGUUUUUGAAAGGCUUAGUGUACAGUUUCUGCAAGUUUAUUUUCUUACAGCUUUGUCAAAUGGCCAUCUUUAUGUCUCCAGGUGGACUGGUUCAAUGGUUACAAAAUGUCCCUUGCUACCUACAUGAGGUCAUUGGCAGGAGACCACGGUUUGGACAUCACACAGGAUGUGAAACCUCCAAAAAGCCUAUAUAUAGAAAACUGGACAGUUUGAACUGCUAGAAUGCCUCAGGAAAGAAUGCUAAGCCUAACUACACAGAGAAGACGCAAACAGAGCCUAACGCUUACCUGUAGGUGCAUGUACAGUGCCCAGCUACUGGAUGGUUACUUCAUAAUAAAAAAUAAUAAACAUGGAACCAUCACGAAGAUAAGGAAACCUUGGCUGAGACCGACAAGUACGUGAUCCUCUCUUUUCUAUUAUUAUUUCUACGCUUCUGAAUCAUCUAGAGAGAUUCCUGAGAAGGGAAAGAAUAGGACAUCUAUUCUCAUGGAAGAAUAAAACAUUACCCUCUGGAGACAACCAGGCUGGACAGGGGGCAGAGUGACCACGUCUCUCCAAAUAUCUCAGAUUAUCAGUUUUCCAGGUAUGUUCGAGGGCUCCAUGGUAUCUCCCAAACACAGUAACCAGGGCACAAGGACUGGAUACUGAGUUCAGUCUCAACUACAGCAAGGUGCGCGAGCACCGUUUUACCAGCCGUGAAUAGGUAUCUUGGACAGGACUGAUCUGAGGACAGUGCUGAGGUCUUGAGAGUCUUGGAGUGGGGCACUGGACUCGGAAACAGAGGACCACCUGACAGAGUCAGAUUCACCCAUUGUUCUGAGAAUGUGUGCGUUUUUGAGCAGAGGAACAAUGACAAAAGAUCCGGGUGAAUCUCAGAUCAAAAAUCCUUAUGUGCUUCAAAAAAGGAAAACAAAAUAUUUUUAUCCACCUUAAAAAUUCAUGAAAAGGAAAACCACAGAGCUCUGUUAGUGAAAUGCCAAAAGUCCUAUUAUGUAUGGACACUGAGAGUCUGAUGCUUGUCUAGAGAGGAGAGACUGAGAAUUGGGUCUCAAGUCCUCAUUUUUUCUGUGUCUCAGCAUCAAAAGGAGCCAAAGCAGAGAAGUAGGAGUAGGGAAAGGAGUGGAGCUUUGAAAGGUACAUUUUGCCAUUCAGCUAUGUGUGCCCCUGGAGUUAGCCCCAUCUCUCCGACUCUGAGGGCCCAGGUCCACCAGCUCAGAGGAGGCCAGUGGCAGAACCCAUCCCUUGGGAAAGAGAACUCUCAGGGAAGCUCCUGGAAGAACAGGACCCAGAGACUACCCAGAUUCCAUGUAGAGAAUGAAGCUGGAGGGGCCUGGAAAACGGUUUGGUCCAGCAGGAGCCUCUGGGCUACACUACCAAUAACACCUGGAUUGGGAUGUGGGACUCCAGGUUCAACUGUGGACACACUGUUUUGUUUUUUUAAUUAAUUUAUUCAUUUUAAUUUGAGGUUAAUUAUUUUUGCACAUCAUUUAACAUUUCUCAGAUUCAUCUAAGCAGUGAAUGCUGCCCAUUCUCCCUCACAAAGGGACUGGUGAAGGCAUCAAGGGGUAGUGGGUAUGAAAGCACUUUUUUAAUGUAAACCCUAUCACAAGCUUCACCAUCACUGUCAGGGAUCAUGUGGCCUUGGGCCCUGGUACUUGGUUUCCAAUAUCCCAAUUGUGUCCCCUUAAAGGGAUACUGCAAUCAGCCUCCUGUAAUACCCCUAUGCCCUGGCUUCCUCACCAUGACCCAGUUUGCUAAUUUCCAGCUUGCAGAGGUUGCCUGGAACCACUGGAAGAGGUCUGGGAGGUGACACCGCUUCUGCAACGGUAGAGAAUCAUCCCCUUCUCUCCUCAGUGGUUCUUCUUUCCAGAGCCUAUGGUGUGACCCCAGGGCUGCAGGUAGCCUGGGGUUGAACUGGAAGGGGGAGUCCUGGGGGUGGGUUAUGGCUAAA